AUAGUUUAGUGUAAAGCAUUAAAAGAAAGGAAAAAAUUUAAAAUAUCACUCCUGUAGUUUCGUACUUUUUUAUUUUAGUACGUUGUGGUUUAAAGUGUAUCAAUUUAGUACUUCAUUAUUUUAUUUUUCUCUUUUUAUUAUCCCCUCUACUAAUUUUUUUCGUUAAAUCAGGAACAAAGUUAAAACUAAAAAGUCUAAAAUAAAUAUUCGAUAAACUUAUGUGCGGUAUCUGAAGUUUUUUGUAUAUAAUUUAACGAAAUGUUAACGAAUGAGCUGACGAAAAGAGAAAAAAAAUAAAAUUACAAAAUACUAAAUCGAUACACUUUAAAUCACAUAAUACUAAAAUGAGAAAUUACAAAAUGAGAGAGUUGGUACUUAAAAUUUACCUUAAAUUAAAUAAUAUAUA
Molecule: long non-coding RNA, 406 nt
Filed under: Ananas comosus (pineapple)
Lineage: Eukaryota; Viridiplantae; Streptophyta; Magnoliopsida; Poales; Bromeliaceae
Description: long non-coding RNA (ACOM_LNC028777)
Source: RNAcentral